GACGAACGCUGGCGGCGUGCUUAACACAUGCAAGUCGAACGGAAAGGCCCUGCUUUUGUGGGGUGCUCGAGUGGCGAACGGGUGAGUAACACGUGAGUAACCUGCCCUUGACUUUGGGAUAACUUCAGGAAACUGGGGCUAAUACCGGAUAGGAGCUCCUGCUGCAUGGUGGGGGUUGGAAAGAUUCGGCGGUUGGGGAUGGACUCGCGGCUUAUCAGCUUGUUGGUGGGGUAGUGGCUUACCAAGGCUUUGACGGGUAGCCGGCCUGAGAGGGUGACCGGCCACAUUGGGACUGAGAUACGGCCCAGACUCCUACGGGAGGCAGAAGUGGGGAAUAUUGCACAAUGGGCGGAAGCCUGAUGCAGCAACGCCGCGUGCGGGAUGACGGCCUUCGGGUUGUAAACCGCUUUCGCCUGUGACGAAGCGUGAGUGACGGUAAUGGGUAAAGAAGCACCGGCUAACUACGUG
This 468-nucleotide ribosomal RNA is filed under the name uncultured bacterium. Its description in RNAcentral is "partial 16S ribosomal RNA". It matches the Rfam family "Bacterial small subunit ribosomal RNA", at positions 28 to 507 of the family's 1533-position model. The record is from RNAcentral.